GUGUGUACAAGAAGGGGGCGGUGCUAGCGCGGCCUUGACAACCACGAAGUACCCUCCGAGACUACAUUUCCCGGGCGGCGCCGCGGGAACCGGAAGCGCCUGGGGUCCAGUGCGCAGGCGCAAAGUCCCCUCUGGUUAUAUAAGGACGGUCCUGCUGCACCUCGUUCUUUCGCGUUUGCAGUUCCUGGUUGGUCGUUUUGGUGUGUUCUGCUGCAUCGUCCUUAUCCGAUGUCAUCCAGCCCUAAGAACUCGGGGUUAUUACCGUGUGCGGUUGGCGUGAUCAAAGGGUGCAGAAUGCAUCUUGAAGGAGCGAGUCGUUGCUGGGCCUCCAAGGGAACCCCGAUGUCGCGUAGACAUCGAGAGCCUUUGGUCUCCUGAUCUGGUUUACUGUUGGCAAAAAGCAGACUUGGCGUGGACCAGGAUGAAUCCAGGAGUGGGAAAGGAUUGGGAAGUGAUGUGCACAUUUUUCUAAGUGCCCAUGCCCACAUGGCUGAACAGACAUAGAAUCUGGAGAAUGGAGGAGGUACAGAGCCCUGUGUGUCACUGGGCAGAAAGUUGAUUGCAGCCUGAUCUUCCUUUCGGCUCAGUCUGUGCUGUAGCAGGAGUUUCUCACGGGCGGAGUUGGAAUACAAGGCCUCUUGGAAAAGAUCGACCCUGUGUUUUCCUGAGAAAGCAUAAUGGAAUUUUGUAGGCUUCCUAUCUGGAGAAGGAAAAUAAAAAAAAUUCUUGAAA
Phyllostomus discolor (pale spear-nosed bat) is the source of this 732-nucleotide long non-coding RNA. RefSeq lists it as uncharacterized. The transcript has 5 exons. The record is from RefSeq and is a predicted model, not a curated record. NCBI's taxonomy places the organism in Eukaryota, Metazoa, Chordata, Mammalia, Chiroptera, Phyllostomidae.